GAUGAGCGCUGGCGGCGUGCCUAAUACAUGCAAGUCGAGCGAACGGACGAGAAGCUUGCUUCUCUGAUGUUAGCGGCGGACGGGUGAGUAACACGUGGAUAACCUACCUAUAAGACUGGGAUAACUUCGGGAAACCGGAGCUAAUACCGGAUAAUAUUUUGAACCGCAUGGUUCAAAAGUGAAAGACGGUCUUGCUGUCACUUAUAGAUGGAUCCGCGCUGCAUUAGCUAGUUGGUAAGGUAACGACUUACCAAGGCAACGAUGCAUAGCCGACCUGAGAGGGUGAUCGGCCACACUGGAACUGAGACACGGUCCAGACUCCUACGGGAGGCAGCAGUAGGGAAUCUUCCGCAAUGGGCGAAAGCCUGACGGAGCAACGCCGCGUGAGUGAUGAAGGUCUUCGGAUCGUAAAACUCUGUUAUUAGGGAAGAACAUAUGUGUAAGUAACUGUGCACAUCCUGACGGUACCUAAUCAGAAAGCCACGGCUAACUACGUG
RNAcentral lists this ribosomal RNA (497 nucleotides) under uncultured bacterium. RNAcentral describes it as "partial 16S ribosomal RNA". It matches the Rfam family "Bacterial small subunit ribosomal RNA", at positions 28 to 507 of the family's 1533-position model. The record is from RNAcentral.